AUUGAACGCUGGCGGCAGGCCUAACACAUGCAAGUCGAACGAGUGGCGGACGGGUGAGUAAUGUCUGGGAAACUGCCUGAUGGAGGGGGAUAACUACUGGAAACGGUAGCUAAUACCGCAUACCAUCGAAUUUGCCCAGAUUGGCUUAGCUAGGAGGUGGGGUAACGGCUCACCUAGGCGACGAUCCCUAGCUGGUCUGAGAGGAUGACCAGCCACACUGGAACUGAGACACGGUCCAGACUCCUACGGGAGGCAGCAGUGGGGAAUAUUGCACAAUGGGCGCAAUCCUGAUGCAGCAAGGCCGCGUGUAUGAAGAAGGCCUUCGGGUUGUAAAGUACUUUCAGCGGGGAGGCGUUACCCGCAGAAGAAGCACCGGCUAACUCCGUGCCAGCAGCCGCGGUAAUAC
This 406-nucleotide ribosomal RNA is filed under the name uncultured bacterium. RNAcentral's name for it is "partial 16S ribosomal RNA". It matches the Rfam family "Bacterial small subunit ribosomal RNA", at positions 30 to 526 of the family's 1533-position model. The record is from RNAcentral.